Long non-coding RNA from Cataglyphis hispanica, 1679 nucleotides. RefSeq lists it as uncharacterized. The record is from RefSeq and is a predicted model, not a curated record. The transcript has 3 exons. NCBI's taxonomy places the organism in Eukaryota, Metazoa, Arthropoda, Insecta, Hymenoptera, Formicidae.
CACGCGUUACUUUCCUUCAUAUUCCCCAUUAUAAUAAUGUGUGUAUGUGGAGUAAUUUGAUACUUGUGGCGAUACAUGCGGCUAUCUUACACAGACAGAUGCUCGCAGUCUCGUAGGAAGUAAUGUACAUACUGUAGUGUGCUGCCAAUUUGAUCACUAUGGCGACGAGGAUAAAUUGAAUUUAAUUUAUUGGAAAUUAGGUGCGAAUAUCAAGUCUCAUACAAGAAAUCUCACAAUUCGAAAGGAUAAUUCAGGAUGACUUCCACUCUACCCUCAUUGGAGAAAUUUGACUGCGAUGGUGAUCCAGGGUCGGUGGGCUUAAAAUGGGAAAGUGGAAGAGAGCCAGAUAUUCCUUGUAGUUGCUAAUAUCAAAAAAGAAGAAAUGAAGAGAACUACUUUUCUACAUACUGAGAGAUCUGGGAGGACUUCAGGAAAUAGCCAGGAGCACAAAGAUUUGGAACGAAGGAUGAGAAAGUCUAUGAGAUAGCUAUACAGAAAUUAGAAGAAUACUUUGCUCCGAAACAAAAAUAAAUGAACGUCAUAUAUUUAGGUUAAUGAAAUAAGAUGGAGAAAAUUUUGAAAAGUUUGUAGUACGUCUGAGAAAUCAAGCAGAGACAUGUAAAUUUUUUGAUGCUGAACAUAUAAUUGAAUAGUGUCAGAAAAAUGUAAAAUUAAAAAAUUAAAAAAAAAUAAUAAUAAUGACUGAAGAAACAAUUAAUUUAAAUGCAAUCAUCGCAGAAACCAGCGCAUUGGAGACUAUAACUCAACAAUUAGAAAAUUUCAUGAGUGCAAACACGAAGCAAGAAAUAAAUAGACUGAAAAUGGCAUAAAAGGAUACGAAAACAAAAUGCUCCCGAUGUGGGAGUGCAAAUCAUUUAGCUGAGGACAAAAAUGUCCAGUACAGAAAUAAGAAAUGUCUCAAGUGUAGUUAUAUCGAUCAUUACAAAGAAUAUUGUAAAAUAAUCAUGAGGAAACACCUUGGAUUUAAAAGCAGUAGUAAAGAAGAGAUUCAAAGCACAAAAAACCUAAAAGAAAACAAUACCAGGUAUAUCAAUGAUGUUGAUAAUUAUGUGCAUCAUAUUGAUGAUAAUGACAGCUUCAUUACUUUUACGUGGGAGGAGUACCCAUUGAAUUGCUAAUAGAUUUAGGAAGUAAAUGCAACUUAUUAACAGAUAAAACGUGGGAAAAUUUGAAAGACAAAACGAUCCAAGUUUCAAUCAAAUAAAAAAUCCAGACAAGGUUUUCAUCCUGUAUGGAAAAACAACCUUUAGAAGUAAUCAGAUCUUUUGAAUCUGAGAUAAUCAUUAAUAAAAUUACAAAAAAACUACAUUCUAUGAUAUAAAACGGAACAAUAGAUCUCCUAGGCAAGAUUACUACUAAAGCUCUGGAAGUGUUGCUCGUGUUAUAGCCUAAAUAGCUAUAACCGAAUUAUUAUUAAUAUUAAAUAGCUUAAAGAAAUAUUUCUCAACACGGGUUAGCGAGAUAUUGCGAAAGGCGUAUAAUGUUACCAGCGCUGUAUGAAACGCUGACGAAGCGAACCGCGCGCCGAAGCUAAGCGAUUGCGAAAAGAUUGAACCACCGAAAAUGCAAGGAAUUUCGAUCGAACGAUCUUAACUUGCAUUUCGGUCUAACAAUUCGAAACAAACGACACAACCAUAUAUGGCCAUGUCGCUAAGGGA